UGGGGAAUAUUGCACAAUGGGCGCAAGCCUGAUGCAGCCAUGCCGCGUGUGUGAAGAAGGCCUUCGGGUUGUAAAGCACUUUCAGCGAGGAGGAAGGUGGUGAACUUAAUACGUUCAUCAAUUGACGUUACUCGCAGAAGAAGCACCGGCUAACUCCGUGCCAGCAGCCGCGGUAAUACGGAGGGUGCAAGCGUUAAUCGGAAUUACUGGGCGUAAAGCGCACGCAGGCGGUUUGUUAAGUCAGAUGUGAAAUCCCCGGGCUCAACCUGGGAACUGCAUUUGAAACUGGCAAGCUAGAGUCUCGUAGAGGGGGGUAGAAUUCCAGGUGUAGCGGUGAAAUGCGUAGAGAUCUGGAGGAAUACCGGUGGCGAAGGCGGCCCCCCUGGACGAAGACUGACGCUCAGGUGCGAAAGCGUGGGGGAGCAAAACAGGAUUAGAUACCCUGGUAGUCCACGCUGNAACGAUGUCGAUUUGGAGGUUGUGCCCUUGAGGCGUGGCUUCCGGAGCUAACGCGUUAAAGUCGACCGCCUGGGGAGUACGGCCGCAAGGUUAAAACUUAAAUGAAUUGACGGGGUCAUAGCUGUUUCCU
Molecule: ribosomal RNA, 589 nt
Filed under: uncultured bacterium
Lineage: Bacteria
Description: partial 16S ribosomal RNA
Rfam family: Bacterial small subunit ribosomal RNA
Source: RNAcentral